UAAGCCGCGCAUUAUUGGACUUCGAACACUCAGCUAUAGUGAUCACGCCAAAAUAAAACUGCCAUACAAGUUAUCCAAUCACAAUUGGACACGCCUUUUACUCAGAUAACGCAGUGUCAAGCACAGCGGGGACUACAGUUUGGUAUGAUUGCUCAAGAAUAUUAGAUGUUGCGUAUUUGCUAUUCAAGUUUUUUCUAACUAAGUGGCCGGUGAGAUCUGCUAAUCAUAAAGGAGAGGCAAACAUAAAUUCUUAAUCUCAUGAGACAAAUUUUUGUAAAGAGGGUUUUUUUUCUUCCGUUUUCUAGAAAUCUGUUAUCCCCCCCCCCCCC
This is a long non-coding RNA of Daphnia pulicaria, 329 nucleotides long. RefSeq lists it as uncharacterized. The transcript has 2 exons. NCBI's taxonomy places the organism in Eukaryota, Metazoa, Arthropoda, Branchiopoda, Diplostraca, Daphniidae. The record is from RefSeq and is a predicted model, not a curated record.